AUUUGCUUUUUUACUGAAGCAGAUUGAUAAAAUUCCCUGGAACUGGGCACUGUCAGGAAUUCGCACGCAGAAAAGAAACAAGAUCUGUCUUCUGUUUUCCUGUUAAUUCAAGGAAAAGCCCACAAGACUCUUCCAGGAUGGCCAAAAGCAUCUCUCUGCUUGUCUCCUCUCCCUCUGAGCUUUGCAGGUUGAAUUUUCCCAUUGAUGUGUCAGCCCAAGUGCUCAAAAACUCAUCGCAUCGUUACCCAACCUCCGAAAUGAGCCACGGUGCCGGCUACCAGCCUUCUUGGGAAAAUACCUCUGGCUGCCUUAUUUCCAUCUGAAUUCCCUCCAUCCCACGGAUAUUAGAUUUCCAGCGAUCUCAAAUGAUGCCGGUGAGGGGGAGCUUGUCCUGGCACGUCAGGAAGCAAACCACGCAGGCACCGGGCACACGGCCGGGGUGAGUCCCAGGGAUGGAGAUGAUGCCACGUGCCGUCAUCCCACGUCACGGAGGUGUCCCCCUCCAGCUUCGUGGGCUGCAGGGGGAUGCACAACCACAACUAGACACCGGAGAAUCCACACCAGGAAACCUUGACCAUUUUUCUUUGAAGAUUAUCAACAAAAGGGCCAGAGCGGUGCUCAUUUUCUGCUACUGGUUUAAAAACUAUAAGCUAAAAAAAGUGGAGAAAGACAUUUCAGAAGUCUGUGCCCAAGACUGGGGAAUUCACGAGAAACGUCAAAAUCACAGAAAUAAAUAUAACUUUUUCACGUUUUUAACUGAAAAACAUUUACAAUGGAAUGGCUGUGCCGGGGGUGGGAAGCAGGAGAGGACGUGAUGCCCAGCGCAAUCAUUGCAGGACGCAUCGGCACGGCUGGCACAGAGGGGCUGCGACACCUCCCAAAUUAUCUAUCCAUCGAGUCAAUUAAAAGCAAUAAAUAUUAUUCUUGUUCUCUAA
Molecule: long non-coding RNA, 935 nt
Organism: Harpia harpyja (harpy eagle)
Lineage: Eukaryota; Metazoa; Chordata; Aves; Accipitriformes; Accipitridae
Exons: 2
Source: RefSeq, a predicted model, not a curated record